GCAUUAUAAGCAAACACAUUAUGAUCAAGUGGUGAAGUAUAGAAUACAGAUAAAGCAUUCGAUAUCGAAUUACAUUUCGAGUACAUGUUAAUAAGGCUAGUGGUAGGCACUGGAGAUAAAUCCAAAUGGCCACAUCUAAGCAUGUGACAAUGAACUUGUUUCCCUCCUGUAAGGUCCUUUUCAUUAGCACAUGAUUGAAGUGAUACAAUGCAAGUCUUGAGAUCAAAAGACUUGUAAGCAAUGGAUGAAAAACUAAUUGAAUAUUGACAUUGUGACUUAAAUAUUGACAAAGACCUCGUAAUUAAGGUUCUUCGCCUCAUUUAGAAGCAAAAAA
Molecule: unclassified non-coding RNA, 334 nt
Filed under: Hevea brasiliensis (rubber tree)
Lineage: Eukaryota; Viridiplantae; Streptophyta; Magnoliopsida; Malpighiales; Euphorbiaceae
Source: RNAcentral